CUUCUGCCACGUCUGCAUUUCGGGGACCCGGAUGCCGCGCAUGCGCCUCUUUCAUCUUCCCAUCAUGGCCGCCGCCUGUGCGCCUCUGCUGAGUCACCCUGCACUCAUUGGAUCAGCUGACUACCUAGACCAGUAACCUGGCUCAAUCAGUUCUGCCAUUCCACCCAGGAACAGAAAACAGCAAGAAAACCUCACUUUGACUCCCUGUGAUUCCGUCUUCAACCUGACCAAUCAGCACUCCCCGCUUCCCAAGCUCCUACUCGCCAAAUUAUCUUUAAGAACUCUGAUCCUCAAAUGCUCAGGGAGACUAAUUUGUGUAAUAAUAAAACUCUGGUCUCCCACACAGCUGGCUCUG
Molecule: long non-coding RNA, 355 nt
Filed under: Homo sapiens (human)
Lineage: Eukaryota; Metazoa; Chordata; Mammalia; Primates; Hominidae
Description: non-protein coding lnc-AGAP5-1:14
Source: RNAcentral